Molecule: ribosomal RNA, 147 nt
Filed under: uncultured bacterium
Lineage: Bacteria
Description: partial 16S ribosomal RNA
Rfam family: Bacterial small subunit ribosomal RNA
Source: RNAcentral
GGUAAGGUAACGGCUUACCAAGGNCGAUGAUGCAUAGCCGAGUUGAGAGACUGAUCGGCCACAUUGGGACUGAGACACGGCNCCAAACUCCUACGGGAGGCAGCAGUAGGGAAUCUUCCACAAUGGACGCAAGUCUGAUGGAGCAAC